GGAUCCAGCGGAAGAGGACAGGUUUGUGCUUGUUAUUUACAAGAGCAUGUUACUUUAUUGAAAUUACUGUAAAACUGCAUGUUUUUCUGCCUCCUAAAUGAUCCCUGAAUGGAAGUCCUUCCUUGUUGCCUCGGAGUAGGACACAGCCACCAGGCGAUCAGCAUCAGCAGUGCUGGAGCCAGAGCCGAACAAAUGAUUCAACCUGCUGCUUCUGAAACUUCCCCCCGCAGGGCUGUCUAUCUAAAACCCAAUUUGCGCCACCAUUGCUGUCAUCUGUAACCCUCCUACAUCCUCAUAAUCCUCUAUCCGAGCUCCCUGUGUGACAUGGAUAAAUCGUACCGCUGCAGACAUGUUCAGAGGAAUUAAAGCGAUGAUAUCUUGAAAUGAACACUGUCACUGUGACUUCCUCCUGACCUCGGGCUCGUCUGUCCAGCUGAACCAAAUGAGAUGUUCAACCCAAAGUCAGGGGAAGAAAUGAGGGAAAUCAGAGAAACACGGUGCUUCGACAUGUAUUAGAUAGUUGUAAUUUCUUAGAUUAUCUUUGUGUAUUGUGUUUCUUUUAGGAUAAAUUUUAAAAUUCUGGUUUUAACUUUCAGAGCCUUGCAUGGUCAGGCUCCAGCUUACAUCAAUGACCUGAUCCAGCCUUACACCCCAGCCCGGGUUCUGAGGUCUGUGGGUCAGAAUUUUCUGAUGGUGCCUCACACUCAUUUCCGGACCAGAGGAGACCGAUCCUUCCAGGCUGUUGCUCCCAAGCUCUGGAACGAUCUUCCGCCUGCUCUGCGUUCAAUGGAGUCUGUUGACUCCUUCAAAAGGGAACUAAAGACUUUUCUAUUUGUUCAGGCUUUGGCCUAACUGUCUUAGGG
Xyrichtys novacula (pearly razorfish) is the source of this 863-nucleotide non-coding RNA. NCBI's taxonomy places the organism in Eukaryota, Metazoa, Chordata, Actinopteri, Labriformes, Labridae. The record is from the annotation of a GenBank genome assembly.